RNAcentral lists this ribosomal RNA (165 nucleotides) under Nanosynbacter sp. Its description in RNAcentral is "Candidatus Nanosynbacter sp. partial 23S ribosomal RNA". It matches the Rfam family "Bacterial large subunit ribosomal RNA", at positions 1 to 165 of the family's 2925-position model. Lineage: Bacteria; Bacillati; Minisyncoccota; Nanosynbacteria; Nanosynbacterales; Nanosynbacteraceae. The record is from RNAcentral.
AAAAAGGUACUCAAGGGCACACAAUGGAUGCCUAGACGUAUAUUACCGAUGAAGGACGUGGAAGACUGCGAUAAGCUUCGGGUAGCUGUCAACAAGCUUUGAUCCGGAGAUUUCCGAAUGGGGAAACCCAGCACGAGUCAUGUCGGGUUGCUCUCAACUGAAUAC